RNAcentral lists this unclassified non-coding RNA (153 nucleotides) under uncultured Ascomycota. Its description in RNAcentral is "sequence contains ITS2". The record is from RNAcentral. Lineage: Eukaryota; Fungi; Ascomycota.
UUCAACCCUCAAGCAUUGCUUGGUGUUGGGCAAGGUCCUUAGUAGGGACCUGCUCGCAACUUGUAGGCGGUCAUCGCCCCGUGCCCCCAGCGUAGCAGGCUCACGCACUCGCUCGGGGACAGGCGAGGGGUCGCCCGGCAAACCAAACUCAAG